This 164-nucleotide non-coding RNA is filed under the name pig gut metagenome. RNAcentral's name for it is "Lysine riboswitch". It matches the Rfam family "Lysine riboswitch aptamer". Rfam says of the family: Riboswitches are metabolite binding domains within certain messenger RNAs that serve as precision sensors for their corresponding targets. Allosteric rearrangement of mRNA structure is mediated by ligand binding, and this results in modulation of gene expression. This family includes riboswitches that sense lysine in a number of genes involved in lysine metabolism, including lysC. The record is from RNAcentral.
UGGUAGAGGUCGCGAUAUUCAUCAGUACUCUUUGGGAUGACUUAGAGCAGAUGAACAUAGAUGAAAGGGGAUAUCGCCGAAGAGAGGCAACGGCUAAGCGUUGUUUCGUCUGGUUGUACAGCGAAUAACUGUAUGACUGUCAUCGCAAGAUGGAGCGCUACUGU